UACAGAGGGGGCAAGCGUUGUUCGGAAUUACUGGGCGUAAAGGGCGCGUAGGCGGCCUGUUAAGUCGAACGUGAAAUCCCCGGGCUCAACCCGGGAACUGCGUCCGAUACUGGCAGGCUCGAAUCCGGGAGAGGGAUGCGGAAUUCCAGGUGUAGCGGUGAAAUGCGUAGAUAUCUGGAGGAACACCGGUGGCGAAGGCGGCAUCCUGGACCAAUUCUGACGCUGAGGAGCGAAAGCCAGGGGAGCAAACGGG
This 253-nucleotide ribosomal RNA is filed under the name uncultured bacterium. RNAcentral describes it as "partial 16S ribosomal RNA". It matches the Rfam family "Bacterial small subunit ribosomal RNA", at positions 524 to 776 of the family's 1533-position model. The record is from RNAcentral.